This 406-nucleotide ribosomal RNA is filed under the name uncultured bacterium. RNAcentral's name for it is "partial 16S ribosomal RNA". It matches the Rfam family "Bacterial small subunit ribosomal RNA", at positions 30 to 526 of the family's 1533-position model. The record is from RNAcentral.
AUUGAACGCUGGCGGCAGGCCUAACACAUGCAAGUCGAACGAGUGGCGGACGGGUGAGUAAUGUCUGGGAAACUGCCUGAUGGAGGGGGAUCACCACUGGACACUGUAUCUUAUCCCGCAUUCCCUCAUAUGUGCCCAGAUGGGAUUAGCUUGUUGGUGGGGUAACGGCUCACCAAGGCGACGACCCCUAGCUGGUCUGAGAGGAUGACCAGCCACACUGGAACUGAGACACGGUCCAUACUCCUACGGGAGGCAGCAGUGGGGAAUAUUGCACAAUGGGCGCAAGCCUGAUGCAGCCAUGCCGCGUGUGUGAAGAAGGCCUUCGGGUUGUAAAGUACUUUCAGCGGGGAGGCGUUACCCGCAGAAGAAGCACCGGCUAACUCCGUGCCAGCAGCCGCGGUAAUAC